This is a long non-coding RNA of Peromyscus eremicus (cactus mouse), 613 nucleotides long. RefSeq lists it as uncharacterized. The record is from RefSeq and is a predicted model, not a curated record. The transcript has 4 exons. Lineage: Eukaryota; Metazoa; Chordata; Mammalia; Rodentia; Cricetidae.
UGACAGCCCAUUACUUAAAGUUUUCUAAAGGACCCCAAACUACAACUUAAUCAUCAUUCAUAGGUGAAAUUUUCUUUGAGAGAAAUCUGAAGUAGCAUGGUUUUUUUCCCCCUCAACUAAGUACAGUUUAGUCAUUUUGCCAUUGGACUCUUGGUUGCUGAGCCAAAAUGGCGAAGGUAGAGAGCCGAUCACAUAAGCAUUUCGUAUGGGAUGCAUCGAUUCCAUGCAAGGUGAUUUGUCAAAUUUGAUGGAAAAUUUGAAAGAGCAAAAGUGCUUUAAUGAACUUACUGACUCAGAUGGGAAACAGCCUUGAGAAGCAAAACAUCCUGAAGCAGUCAUGUUCCCGUUUCAGUGUGAAGUGUCCCCCACUGGCUCAUGUGCUGAAUGCUUGGUUCUUAUGGUCCUAUUUUGGGAAUUUCUGGAAACUUUAAGAGGCCGCCUUCACUGGAGAGAGUCCUAGGGUAUAGAUCCUGGAGGUAUCCUUCUUCUCCUGCCUAUCUGCCUCCUCCACAUGCUCUUGCUUUUGUGAUGUUCUACCUCACCACAGGCCCAGAUAAAUGGAGAUGAUGAAACCUCAAAAACUGUGAGCCCAAAUAAAUUGAUCUUCCUCUGU